RNAcentral lists this unclassified non-coding RNA (411 nucleotides) under Zea mays. RNAcentral describes it as "misc RNA Zm00001eb393350". The record is from RNAcentral. Lineage: Eukaryota; Viridiplantae; Streptophyta; Magnoliopsida; Poales; Poaceae.
CUGCAAUCCCCUCGCAUUUCAUUUCCACGCAGGCAGCUGACCAUUACAGUCCGCAAUCACUUCGAUGUGAUCAGAGGAUUCUAUGGCCCCUCCGCGCAGCUGCAGUCCACGCAGGCAGCUGUAGAUCUAUGGCCCCUCCGCGCAGCUGCAGUCCACGCAGGCAGCUGUAGAUCUAUGGCCCAUCCGCGCAGGCAGUCUGCAAUCACUUCGCCGCAAUCCCCUCCACGCAGGCAGUCUGCAAUCUCCAUUACACCUCCACGUAGGCAGUCCACAAUCUGCGCCCACAAUCUGCACUGCGCUGAUGAACGUUUCAUGGCACGGUUGCAGGAGCUGCUGUACAAGGUCGUCGGCGACACCAAGGUUGUCUCCGACAUCAGUCUUAGCCCCUGCAGCACGCGCGGGUACCUCUGA